AACACCCCUCCCCUCCCCUUAGUGAGGAAGGAUUUGGGCCGCAGACCUGGGUGGUCUCAGGACUCCAGCGGCCUGUUGGGGUGAAGUGGGGUGGGGUCGGGGCGCGGCACAGCUUCCCAAGGAAGUCACAGGACCUCGCCUCGGGAUAUUCAGAAGUGCUAGUCCAGUUCUGGCAGCCUGAACUCUUCCUCCUCCAAGGGGUGCUGUACUCGGCGUGUGGGUUUUGAAGCAGUGGGCGUUCGACUUCAGAGUUGUUUUCCUUGAGGCGCUGAUACCGGCCUUGGCGGAGGAGAAUGACGGUAUUCAUGUGUUUCUGGGUGGUUGCCUGAACAAGGGAGUUCAGCCUUUGGGAGAUAAAGCAGGAUAUGAAGCCUGACCAGGUGGGAGGUCCUGAUGCCCUUCCCAGGACUGGGCACUGCGGUGGCCCCAGCACAGGGCAGGGCCCACCUGAAGCAGUGUGACCUGCUGAAGUUGUCCCGGCAGCAGAAGCAGCUCUGCGGGAGGGAGCCCAGCCUGGCUGA
Long non-coding RNA from Homo sapiens (human), 521 nucleotides. The record is from Ensembl. Lineage: Eukaryota; Metazoa; Chordata; Mammalia; Primates; Hominidae.